GUAACGGUGUCUUUAGACACCACCCUUUGUUUUUGAAAUUUUGAU
This is a non-coding RNA of Picea glauca (white spruce), 45 nucleotides long. The record is from Rfam. NCBI's taxonomy places the organism in Eukaryota, Viridiplantae, Streptophyta, Pinopsida, Pinales, Pinaceae.